UUGCGACUAUAUCACGUUGAAACCGCUUCUCGUACCAUCACUGAAGUUAAGGAACGUCAAGCCUGGUCAGUACCUAGAUGGGUGACCGCUUGGGAAUACCAGGUGUUGUAAG
This is a non-coding RNA of Acanthosepion pharaonis, 112 nucleotides long. NCBI's taxonomy places the organism in Eukaryota, Metazoa, Mollusca, Cephalopoda, Sepiida, Sepiidae. The record is from the annotation of a GenBank genome assembly.